AUUCCAGCUCCAAUAGCGUAUAUUAAAGUUGUUGCGGUUAAAAAGCUCGUAGUUGGAUUUCUGCCGAGGAUGACCGGUCCGCCCUGUGGGUGUGCAUCUGGCUCAGCCUUGGCAUCUUCCUGAAGAACGUAGCUGCACUUGACUGUGUGGUGCGGUAUUUAGGACAUUUACUUUGAGGAAAUUAGAGUGUUUCAAGCAAGCGCACGCUUUGAAUACAUUAGCAUGGAAUAAUAAGAUAGGACCUCGGUUCUAUUUUGUUGGUCUUCGGAACUCGAGGUAAUGAUUAAGAGGGACAGACGGGGGCAUUCGUAUUACGGUGUUAGAGGUGAAAUUCUUGGAUCGCCGUAAGACGAACUACUGCGAAAGCAUUUGCCAAGAAUGUU
Molecule: ribosomal RNA, 383 nt
Filed under: Dinophyceae sp.
Lineage: Eukaryota; Dinophyceae
Description: partial small subunit ribosomal RNA
Rfam family: Eukaryotic small subunit ribosomal RNA
Source: RNAcentral